Molecule: small nucleolar RNA, 134 nt
Filed under: Mola mola (ocean sunfish)
Lineage: Eukaryota; Metazoa; Chordata; Actinopteri; Tetraodontiformes; Molidae
Description: Small nucleolar RNA SNORA9 (ENSMMOG00000013620.1)
Rfam family: Small nucleolar RNA SNORA9
About the family: ACA9 is a member of the H/ACA class of snoRNA that guide the sites of modification of uridines to pseudouridines.
Source: Rfam by way of RNAcentral
GUGCAGGCCGUUCAGCGAGGCUCAGCCUGCUGUGGCUCCGUCCUUUCCUGAAGUGUCUGCUAGAGAGACAUGAGGCAGUUUGAGGCCCUGCUGCGACCCUCAGCGGCAGGGUUAUAGGUUCGCCUCUGACACGU